Molecule: long non-coding RNA, 1894 nt
Organism: Chinchilla lanigera (long-tailed chinchilla)
Lineage: Eukaryota; Metazoa; Chordata; Mammalia; Rodentia; Chinchillidae
Source: Ensembl
GCAAUUUUAGAGGUUUAAACUGCAUGUCCAAUGCUUGGCAGCAGCAGUAUCCAAUUCUACAGUGUGAUUUGGGGGAAUUUUCCUCCUGGCAGUAUAGCUUCAGGUUGCUUUUUAAGGCCUUCCCAAAAUUCCGUGAAACAAACAUGAUUCUUUCAACACAAUCCAUUAGAAUCAUGUCCUCUGCUUGCCACAAGAAACUGCGCUAGCAGGUGCUCCCACUUUUCUCCUUCUGGCAGCCCAAGCCUUCUCAGUUUUCAACACUGUUCUUCAAUGUCAACUUUGCUUGGAAGCGUCCUUGCAGGGUAGCACCACUGCUUUUAAACUUUGGAUAGCACCCUUGACAUGUAUUUCAAUCUGGUCGUGAAUACUGACAUCUUCCAGCUAUUGUGUUUUUUGUUUGUUUGCAUUGCUUAAAGAAUUUGUGCAGAAGAUUUAACAUUGUAGACCUCUGAGAAGUGUAUAAACUGUCAGUCUAAAAGCAAGUGAGGUAAAGGGCCUUUCUAAAAGGGCUGCCUUGGGUAAUUCACUAUAUAACCUUGGAAGUAACUUAAUCAUUUCAAGCUUCCAUUUCCCUAUCUAUGAAGAAAUUGGGACAAUUGGUGCUUGUACAAAAGAGACACAAGGAGACUGAGGCUCAUGAGGACCAUAUAUCACAGAGGCAGAGGGUAUAUGAACUGUGGUCCAGCCAGGCUUCAGUAGUUGUUCUGAUCUUGAAAACCAAGGAUCGAGGAACAUUUCAGAAAGGCCUUGAUAUUUAAAGAGGUAAAUCCUUUCCUGCUGAGAGUAGAAGCAUCAUAGAGCAUGUUCUGGACAAUUUCUGGUGACUCAUCCCUAGCCCCUAUCCAGAAUUACCUAAUAUGAUGUUACCCUUGUCUGCUACUGGCUGGCACAAUCAUAAGAAGUCACUAGCUCGUGUCUGCCCUUCCCUAGGACUUCCGUGUCACCUGGCUUAUCCAAGCCCUCUUCGGUGGUCUGUGGGACAUUUUUUGUACUUUAAGAUUAGAGUGCCUACAAGUAGGAAGAAGGACAUAGCACCAUCGCCACUCAGAUGGCUCCAACGGCUCUAUUAUGCAAAGGAUACAUUUUACCGUCCUGGAGAGUUUUGUGGAACAGAGCUGGAGUUGAGCCACAGACAGAAAACAAUGCAUAUCAAAGAUGGCAGAGUAAAACAUCGACUGUCUACUGAAACACAAUCGCAGUCUUUGCCUGGGGUAGCCGAGUCUAAUUGAAGCCAUCGUUUCACAACCGAGAGGGAACUUUCUCUGGAGAAGCUGAGGAAGCCUGAAAGCAACGACAGAGAAAGCUGCUGCUGCUGCUGCUGCUGCGGUCCUCGAGGUCAAAUUGCGAUGGAAGUGACGUGUGUUGGCAUCUGCCUGUUUUACUUCUGGGCUCGCUUCCCAUUUUCUCAGUGCCUCCUCAGUUCCCUCCGAGUUGGUGGAAACUUGUUUCCUCUUAGCCUCUGUUCUUCCUUGGUUUUAUCAAAACAUGAGAUAAGGAAGGGCUUUAUUUCAGCCAAAUUUUCUCUGUGUGAAAUGAUGACAAUGAAUGGUUUCUCCCAUAGUUAUUUGCAUUUUAAGUAUCAGUAAUAAAUAUGGAAGAAAAUAGUUUUCUUCUUGGUAACUUACAUUUAUAUUCUUAACAAGGGGUGGAAACAUUUUUUAAGGAAAAAAUCAAUUCUCCCUUAACAUCUCUCUGGUUGUAUAUUUAAUACUUAAAGUGGGUCAUAAUGGCCAGAAUGCACUCCUAUUCAACCUCCUCAGAGGAUAGAAGAAGAAUUUUGCUUUUGAUAUAUAGAGGAGUAUCUUAGAAAUCUGUGAGAAAUCAGUGUAUUAGUUCUCAUGGAGAUAGUCAAGCUUACUUUGAGAUCUUGUUCUCUUCCAUUUUAUCUUUCUUU